AAUUGCAAGUUGGAAAUUCACAAAAGAUUUGUAAACAAAGUCUCUGAUUGGAUUAAAAGGAAGAGGGAAGCCAAUCAAAUAGUCUGAGCAACUGGAUUGGUGCUUCCCUCUUUCUUAUAGUCCAAUCAGAGGCUUUGUUUACAAAUCUUUUGUGAAUUUCAACUUGCAAUUU
Paramuricea clavata is the source of this 172-nucleotide non-coding RNA. Lineage: Eukaryota; Metazoa; Cnidaria; Anthozoa; Malacalcyonacea; Plexauridae. The record is from the annotation of a GenBank genome assembly.